AAAGAAUCUUGCUUGAGAAAACCCGCCAAAGAUUAUCUUCAAGUUCCACACAGAUUUCAUCUCUUGAAGAGGAGUUAAAUAAAACAAAAGAAAAACUAAAGCUGGUGAAUCAUGCUGAAGGUGGUGGUCCUUGUGAUCCUGUCGAUUUGACGAGGGAGCUGCAGAGACUGACUGCUGAGACCAAGCAGUUUAAGAAAGUAGGAGAAGCUGCAAAAUCAGAAGUAUUGAGGGCUAUGCCUGAGAUUGAACAUACAAAGACAAGGAUCAAAACAGCAGAGAUUAGAUUGGUUGCAGCCAAGAAGAUGAAAGCAGCUGCUAGAGCUGCUGAAGCUGUUGCUCUUGCUGAAAUCAAGGCCAUAUCAAGCAGUGAGAACUCGUUUGUAACUUUACGACGAGAGCCUGAGGAAGGGGUAACUCUUACCUUUGAGGAGUACUCAUCUCUAUUGUCCAAAGCUCAAGAUGCAGAGGAAGCUAGCAAGCAAAGAGAAGUAGAUGCAAUGAUGCUAGUGGAUGAAGCUGUUGUGUCAAAAACAGAAAUCUUGAAGAAGGUAGAAGAAGCUACGGAAGAAGUUAAAGUUAGUAAGAAGGCAUU
This 592-nucleotide unclassified non-coding RNA is filed under the name Hevea brasiliensis (rubber tree). Lineage: Eukaryota; Viridiplantae; Streptophyta; Magnoliopsida; Malpighiales; Euphorbiaceae. The record is from RNAcentral.